UCAGGCUCAGUCCCCUCCCGAUAAACCCCUAAAUAGGGACUUUCCCGGGGAGUGACCCUGGCU
This 63-nucleotide microRNA precursor is filed under the name Callithrix jacchus (white-tufted-ear marmoset). Its description in RNAcentral is "microRNA cja-mir-484 precursor". Its record names the gene cja-mir-484. It matches the Rfam family "mir-484 microRNA precursor family". Lineage: Eukaryota; Metazoa; Chordata; Mammalia; Primates; Cebidae. The record is from miRBase by way of RNAcentral.